RNAcentral lists this ribosomal RNA (443 nucleotides) under uncultured bacterium. RNAcentral's name for it is "partial 16S ribosomal RNA". It matches the Rfam family "Bacterial small subunit ribosomal RNA", at positions 338 to 795 of the family's 1533-position model. The record is from RNAcentral.
CCUACGGGUGGCUGCAGUAGGGAAUAUUGGGCAAUGGGCGCAAGCCUGACCCAGCAACGCCGCGUGAAGGAAGAAGGCUUUCGGGUUGUAAACUCCUUUUCUCAGGGACGAAGCAAGUGACGGUACCCGAGGAAUAAGCCACGGCUAACUACGUGCCAGCAGCCGCGGCAAUCCGUAGGUGGCAAGCGUUAUCCGGAUUUACUGGGUGUAAAGGGCGUGUAGGCGGGACUGCAAGUCAGAUGUGAAAACCAUGGGCUCAACCUAUGGCCUGCAUUUGAAACGGGAGUUCUUGAGUACUGGAGAGGCAGACGGAAUUCCUGGUGUAGCGGUGAAAUGCGUAGAUAUUAGGAGGAACACCAGUGGCGAAGGCGGUCUGCUGGACAGCAACUGACGCUGAGGCGCGAAAGCGUGGGGAGCAAACAGGAUUAGAUACCCUAGUAGUC